GACGAACGCUGGCGGCGUGCUUAACACAUGCAAGUCGAACGCUGAAGCUCAGCUUUUGUUGGGUGGAUGAGUGGCGAACGGGUGAGUAACACGUGAGUAACCUGCCCCCUUCUUUGGGAUAACGCCCGGAAACGGGUGCUAAUACUGGAUAUGCACUGGUCCUCGCAUGGGGGGUGGUGGAAGUGGUGUUUCUGGUGGGGGAUGGGCUCGCGGCCUAUCAGCUUGUUGGUGGGGUGAUGGCCUACCAAGGCGUUGACGGGUAGCCGGCCUGAGAGGGGGACCGGGAAGAUGGGGACUGAGAUAGGGCCCAGACUACUACGGGAGGUAGCAGUGGGGAAUAUUGCGCGAUGGGCGGAAGAAUGAUGGAGCGACGGAGCGUGAAGGAUGGAGGCCGUCGGGUUGUGACCCUGGUUGGAUAACGGUCAAGCCGCAACAAUGGUUGUGGUGAGGGUAGUGGGUAAAGAAGCGCCGGCUAACUACGUG
This 483-nucleotide ribosomal RNA is filed under the name uncultured bacterium. RNAcentral's name for it is "partial 16S ribosomal RNA". It matches the Rfam family "Bacterial small subunit ribosomal RNA", at positions 28 to 507 of the family's 1533-position model. The record is from RNAcentral.